UCUUGGUUCAAUUAGAGGAAGUAAAAGUCGUAACAAGGUCUCCGUUGGUGAACCAGCGGAGGGAUCAUUACUGAGUUACCGCUCUAUAACCCUUUGUGAACAUACCUAACCGUUGCUUCGGCGGGCAGGGGAAGCCUCUCGCGGGCCUCCCCUCCCGGCGCCGGCCCCCACCACGGGGACGGGGCGCCCGCCGGAGGAAACCAAACUCUAUUUACACGACGUCUCUUCUGAGUGGCACAAGCAAAUAAUUAAAACUUUUAACAACGGAUCUCUUGGUUCUGGCAUCGAUGAAGAACGCAGCGAAAUGCGAUAAGUAAUGUGAAUUGCAGAAUUCAGUGAAUCAUCGAAUCUUUGAACGCACAUUGCGCUCGCCAGCAUUCUGGCGAGCAUGCCUGUUCGAGCGUCAUUUCAACCCUCAAGCACCGCUUGGUUUUGGGGCCCCACGGCACACGUGGGCCCUUAAAGGUAGUGGCGGACCCUCCCGGAGCCUCCUUUGCGUAGUAACUAACGUCUCGCACUGGGAUCCGGAGGGACUCUUGCCGUAAAACCCCCAAAUUUUUUACAGGUUGACCUCGGAUCAGGUAGGAAUACCCGCUGAACUUAAGCAUAUCAAUAGCCCGGAGGAA
RNAcentral lists this ribosomal RNA (626 nucleotides) under Colletotrichum acutatum. RNAcentral's name for it is "eukaryotic LSU rRNA". The stretch from base 253 to 406 matches the Rfam family "5.8S ribosomal RNA". The record is from RNAcentral. Lineage: Eukaryota; Fungi; Ascomycota; Sordariomycetes; Glomerellales; Glomerellaceae.